This 467-nucleotide ribosomal RNA is filed under the name uncultured Polyangiaceae bacterium. RNAcentral's name for it is "bacterial SSU rRNA". It matches the Rfam family "Bacterial small subunit ribosomal RNA", at positions 336 to 796 of the family's 1533-position model. Lineage: Bacteria; Pseudomonadati; Myxococcota; Polyangiales; Polyangiaceae. The record is from RNAcentral.
UUCCUACGGGAGGCUGCAGUGGGGAAUCUUGCGCAAUGGGCGAAAGCCUGACGCAGCGACGCCGCGUGAGUGAUGAAGGCCUUCGGGUUGUAAAGCUCUGUGGAGGGGGACGAAUAAGGGUUGGCUAACAUCCAGCUCGAUGACGGUACCCCUUUAGCAAGCACCGGCUAACUCUGUGCCAGCAGCCGCGGUAAGACAGAGGGUGCAAACGUUGUUCGGAAUUACUGGGCGUAAAGCGCGUGUAGGCUGCUCGGAAAGUCGGAUGUGAAAGCCCUGAGCUCAACUUAGGAAGUGCAUUCGAAACUUCCGAGCUGGAGUGCUGGAGAGGAAGGCGGAAUUCUCGGUGUAGAGGUGAAAUUCGUAGAUAUCGAGAGGAACACCGGUGGCGAAGGCGGCCUUCUGGACAGCGACUGACGCUGAGACGCGAAAGCGUGGGGAGCAAACAGGAUUAGAUACCCCUGUAGUCG